GCGCGUAGGCGGGCCAUCAAGUCAAGGGUGAAAGCCCCCGGCUCAACCGGGGAAGUGCCUCUGAUACUGGUGGUCUCGAGGGAGAUAGGGGCGUGCGGAACUUCCGGUGGAGCGGUGAAAUGCGUAGAUAUCGGAAGGAACACCGGUGGCGAAAGCGGCGCGCUGGAUCUCUUCUGACGCUGAGGCGCGAAAGCCAGGGGAGCGAACGGGAUUAGAUACCCCGGUAGUCCUGGCCCUAAACGUUGGGCACUAGGUUGUGGGCUUACGUGGGUUCACAGCCGGAGCAAAAGUAUUAAGUGCCCCGCCUGGGGAGUAUGGUCGCAAGGCUGAAACUCAAAGAAAUUGACGGGGGCUCACACAAGCGGUGGAGCAUGUGGCUUAAUUCGAGUCUACGCGAAGAACCUUAUCCUGGGCUUGACAUGUGCGAAAGCGCUAGGCGUACCCGAGGGAAACCCCGGGGAACCCCGCAAGGGGGGACCUAGCACAGGUGCUGCAUGGCUGUCGUCAGCUCGUGUCGUGAGAUGUCGGGUUAAGUCCCAUAACGAGCGAAACCCCUGUCUCCAGUU
RNAcentral lists this ribosomal RNA (566 nucleotides) under uncultured bacterium. RNAcentral describes it as "bacterial SSU rRNA". It matches the Rfam family "Bacterial small subunit ribosomal RNA", at positions 567 to 1116 of the family's 1533-position model. The record is from RNAcentral.